This is a non-coding RNA of Ricinus communis (castor bean), 108 nucleotides long. NCBI's taxonomy places the organism in Eukaryota, Viridiplantae, Streptophyta, Magnoliopsida, Malpighiales, Euphorbiaceae. The record is from Rfam.
GUAUCCAUGGCGUUGGCACUGGAAUAUAAGUGAUUUAAAGCGAUCCUAUGCUUCAUGAAAGAAUUAAGUAUCCUUUUGAUAAAAAUUUAAAAUUUCAGCUUUUAAUUC